Molecule: transfer RNA, 65 nt
Filed under: Nogodinidae sp.
Lineage: Eukaryota; Metazoa; Arthropoda; Insecta; Hemiptera; Nogodinidae
Description: tRNA-Ile
Source: RNAcentral
AGUAAGAUGCCUGAAAAGUAAGGAUUAUUUUGAUGUGAUAAGAAUGUGUAUUUACACUCUUGCUA